AGUUGGGUUCUACGCGGCGCACACUUGCCAACCCCGCCAGGACCGGGAGGUAGCAACGGUACGUGAGUCACUGCGGGUGUCGUAGAGCAGCCUAACUGUU
This 100-nucleotide signal recognition particle RNA is filed under the name Chloroflexota bacterium. Its description in RNAcentral is "Chloroflexi bacterium (rhizosphere metagenome) signal recognition particle sRNA small type". It matches the Rfam family "Bacterial small signal recognition particle RNA". From Rfam's summary of the family: The signal recognition particle (SRP) is a universally conserved ribonucleoprotein involved in the co-translational targeting of proteins to membranes. Archaeal SRP consists of a 7S RNA and homologues of the eukaryotic SRP19 and SRP54 proteins. RNAcentral also lists the same sequence under 1 other name. The record is from RNAcentral. Lineage: Bacteria; Bacillati; Chloroflexota.